RNAcentral lists this long non-coding RNA (1810 nucleotides) under Cucumis sativus (cucumber). RNAcentral describes it as "long non-coding RNA (CSAT_LNC000203)". Lineage: Eukaryota; Viridiplantae; Streptophyta; Magnoliopsida; Cucurbitales; Cucurbitaceae. The record is from RNAcentral.
ACAAAAGAAAAAAGAAAGCUUCCAAUCUCAUUUUAUCUCCAUUACUUUCUACACCAAAAUUGGGUCCCACAACCCGGUUCUUUGUCUAGAGGAUAGCAGUUGAGUACUAGUGGUGGUCUCGGGUAGAAUUGGUAAGAAGACAUCAAACCUUUUGAAAGCUUCAAAGGUAAUACUUCUUAAAACCCUAAUUUGAUUAGUUUAUGGUUACAUGUUAAUUGUGGCAAUUAGGGUAGAAAUUCGAUUCUUUUUCCGCUGUGCAUGACUUAGUUCUAUCACUUUUGGUACCAAUUACAAUGCUUAGUACGACCCUUUAAACCUGACUUAAAACAUUACAUGAACUUCUUUGCUUAAUUAUUACAUGUUAUGCAAACAAAUAAUGUUCAUUACCAAAAUGAUGCGAUCAAGGGGCACAGUAGGCGUUCAAAGCUGCAAGUUCAAGGUUGGAUGUCCUUCGCUACAUAGAAGGUGAUAACUCAUAUAAAUACAAGUUACUAUGACCUUUUAGGUAGAAUAAUGAGACCAAAAUGCGUGAUAAGAGUGGCAAAACACAUAGCUUAUGUUGUAAAUGCAUAAAUAUUUAGGAAUAAACUUUACAUAAGUGAUAUGCCUGCUUUACCCUGUUUUUAAUGUCUAAACGUAGGAUUUGCAAAAGAAGAAGUUGGCGAAUUGCAAAGAAACUCGCGUGAAAACUAGGCUAGAAGACCACAUCAAAGCGAAAGAAGAAGUUCACUAGAAGAAAAAAGUGGUAAAUGGAAUUGACUUGACUUGACAAGAUAGAAAACUUUCGACGUUGACAUGUUCAGAAGAUUAAACUUCUCACCUAAAUCUGCCUAUAAAAAAGAACUUCAUACGUACCAUCAAUGGGCUAGACGUCUAAAUGGACUAGCCACUAGAGGUCUAAAUGAGCCAACCACUCACUUGAAGAGGUGGGUGGAAACCUAGAGAGUUGAUGGGAAAGAGUAGCCUUUCCACCACCUGUAAAGUAUUCCUUCAUCUUCUCCGGUCAGUUGAAGAGUGAAAGCUUGAGAGGUGAGUUCAGAAAAGUCCAUCCCACAUUUCCUCCUGACUUGUAAUGUCACUUUUAUUUUUUUUACCAUUUUUGUAUUUUUUUUAUAUUGUAUCUAUUUGUAUUGUACAGUGGCCGAAGACCUUCAUUGUUUAAUACAAUGUAUGUUUAUACCUCAUUCAAUCUAUCCAUCUAUCCUUGUGCUAUUUGUAAUUUAGGUUUAUGAUACAUUCUUGAUAAGGAGCUUUACUUAUAAUUCUUAUUGGUUAGUUGAGCUACUUUCAUCACUUGGCAAGUGUAUAUCGCCAACUACACCUGAGAGGGCAAGUGACAAGGAUAUAACAAACACACACAAGGAAGCGUUUUCUACUAUGUGAGAUAACUUCCAUCAUUUGUAUAACACUGAUUGUGUAGCAAAACAUGACAGUCGUGAGUUUUGAGACUUGAUAUUUUCCCCUCGUUUUUAUUCAUGCAUCGUGAAAUAUUAGAAACGAAUCCAUCGAAAAACUUAAUUGCUUUCAGGAACUUUCAAAACUCAACUCGCUUGCUGCUAGUCAAUGUGUAGCUCACAUGUGGUUUCAUCAAUCUGUUACUGACUUCUAUCAAAUGUAAAUCAUUUUUUAUUUUUUAAAUCUUGUAGAUCUAAUAGGGCAUUCGUGGUACCCUUGGUUUUUCUUUUAAUAUUCAAUAAUGUACCGACAAAGUUGUCACAAACAUUCUUUUCAAUAUGCAUUACAUCUUUUGUGACAAAUAAGUAAUCUUGACCAGUAAGGAAGAUCGAAGAAAAUAAUUUUCUUAGUCCAA